CCCGCUGAACUUAAGCAUAUCAAUAAGCGGAGGAAAAGAAACCAACAGGGAUUACCCUAGUAACGGCGAGUGAAGCGGUAAUAGCUCAAAUUUGAAAUCUGACCUUUACGGGUUCGAGUUGUAAUUUGUAGAAGAUGCUUCGGGUGUGGCCCUGGUCUAAGUUCCUUGGAACAGGACGUCAUAGAGGGUGAGAAUCCCGUAUGUGACUGGGUGCCUAUGCUCAUGUGAAGCUCUUUCGACGAGUCGAGUUGUUUGGGAAUGCAGCUCAAAAUGGGUGGUAUAUUUCAUCUAAAGCUAAAUAUUGGCCAGAGACCGAUAGCGCACAAGUAGAGUGAUCGAAAGAUGAAAAGCACUUUGGAAAGAGAGUUAAACAGUACGUGAAAUUGUUGAAAGGGAAGCGCUUGCAACCAGACUUGCACGCUGUCGAUCAUCCGAGAUUCUUCCCGGUGCACUCGAUUGCGUUCAGGCCAGCAUCGGUUUUGGUGGUUAGAUAAAGGCCUUAGGAACGUAGCUUCUCUCGGGGAGUGUUAUAGCCUUCGGUGCAAUGUAGCCUACUGGGACCGAGGACCGCGCUUCGGCUAGGAUGCUGGCGUAAUGGUUGUAAGCGACCCGUCUUGAAACACGG
Molecule: ribosomal RNA, 625 nt
Filed under: uncultured fungus
Lineage: Eukaryota; Fungi
Description: eukaryotic LSU rRNA
Rfam family: Eukaryotic large subunit ribosomal RNA
Source: RNAcentral